This 572-nucleotide ribosomal RNA is filed under the name Leuconostoc pseudomesenteroides. RNAcentral describes it as "bacterial SSU rRNA". It matches the Rfam family "Bacterial small subunit ribosomal RNA", at positions 78 to 636 of the family's 1533-position model. The record is from RNAcentral. Lineage: Bacteria; Bacillati; Bacillota; Bacilli; Lactobacillales; Lactobacillaceae.
GCUUGCACCUUUCAAGUGAGUGGCGAACGGGUGAGUAACACGUGGACAACCUGCCUCAAGGCUGGGGAUAACAUUUGGAAACAGAUGCUAAUACCGAAUGAAACUUAGUGUCGCAUGAUACGAAGUUAAAAGGCGCUUUGGCGUCACCUAGAGAUGGAUCCGCGGUGCAUUAGUUAGUUGGUGGGGUAAAGGCCUACCAAGACAAUGAUGCAUAGCCGAGUUGAGAGACUGAUCGGCCACAUUGGGACUGAGACACGGCCCAAACUCCUACGGGAGGCUGCAGUAGGGAAUCUUCCACAAUGGGCGAAAGCCUGAUGGAGCAACGCCGCGUGUGUGAUGAAGGCUUUCGGGUCGUAAAGCACUGUUGUAUGGGAAGAACAGCUAGAAUAGGGAAUGAUUUUAGUUUGACGGUACCAUACCAGAAAGGGACGGCUAAAUACGUGCCAGCAGCCGCGGUAAUACGUAUGUCCCGAGCGUUAUCCGGAUUUAUUGGGCGUAAAGCGAGCGCAGACGGUUGAUUAAGUCUGAUGUGAAAGCCCGGAGCUCAACUCCGGAAUGGCAUUGGAAACUGG